This 253-nucleotide ribosomal RNA is filed under the name uncultured bacterium. RNAcentral's name for it is "partial 16S ribosomal RNA". It matches the Rfam family "Bacterial small subunit ribosomal RNA", at positions 524 to 776 of the family's 1533-position model. The record is from RNAcentral.
UACGAAGGGGGCUAGCGUUGCUCGGAAUGACUGGGCGUAAAGGGCUCGUAGGUGGCCAACUAAGUCGGACGUGAAAUCCCUCAGCUUAACUGGGGAACUGCGUCCGAUACUGGAUGGCUUGAGUUUGGGAGAGGGAUGCGGAAUUCCAGGUGUAGCGGUGAAAUGCGUAGAUAUCUGGAGGAACACCGGUGGCGAAGGCGGCAUCCUGGACCAACACUGACACUGAGGAGCGAAAGCCAGGGGAGCAAACGGG